Molecule: ribosomal RNA, 445 nt
Filed under: uncultured bacterium
Lineage: Bacteria
Description: SSU rRNA
Rfam family: Bacterial small subunit ribosomal RNA
Source: RNAcentral
AGAGCGAACGCUGGCGGCAGGCCUAACACAUGCAAGUCGAGCGCCCGUAGCAAUACGGGAGCGGCAGACGGGAUAGUAACACGUGGGAACGCGCCCUUCGGUUCGGAAUAACUCAGGGAAACUUGAGCUAAUACCGGAUACGCCCUUACGGGGAAAGAUUUAUUGCCGAAGGAACGGCCCGCGUCCGAUUAGCUAGUUGGUGAGGUAAUGGCUCACCAAGGCGACGAUCGGUAGCUGGUCUGAGAGGAUGACCAGCAUCACUGGGACUGAGACACGGCCCAGACUCCUACGGGAGGCAGCAGUGGGGAAUAUUGGACAAUGGGCGCAAGCCUGAUCCAGCCAUGCCGCGUGGAUGAUGAAGGCCUUAGGGUGUAAAGUCCUUUUAACGGGGAAGAUAAUGACGGUACCGUAGAAUAAGCCCGGCUAACUUCGUGCCAGCAGCCGC